CCCAAACUCUCCUUAAAAAUUCACUUCACUAAAGAUUGAAAUACUCCAAAAAAACAAUUGUUUAUGUUCUUUACUAUAUCUAUAUAUUCAUGCAUGUACAUGUAAAUAUACAGUGUGUUCGGAAAGUAUUCAGACACCUUGACUUUUUCCAUAUUUUAUGUUACAGCCUUAUUCUAAAAUUGAUUAAAUACUGUUUUCCCCUCAGAAGUCUACACAUAACAACCCAUAAUGACAUGUUUUUAGAAUAUUUAGCAAAUGUAUAACCCUGCCCCCCAAAAAAACAUACCUUAUUUACAUGAGUAUUCAGACCCUUUGCAAUGAGAAUCGAAAUAGAGCUCAGGUGCAUCCUGCUUCUACUGAUCAUCCUUGAGAUGUUUCUACAACUUGAUUGGAAUCCACCUGUGGUAAAUUCAAUUGAUUGGACAUGAUUUGGAAAGGCACACACCUGUCUAUAUAAGGUCCCACAGUUGACAGUGCAUGUCAGAGCAAAAACAAGCCAUGAGGUUGAACAAAUUGUCCGUAGAGAUCCGAGACAGGAUUAUGUCGAGGCACAGAUUUGGUGUUGGCGUACCAAAAAAUGUCUGCAGUAUUGAAGGUCCCCAAGAACACUGUGGCCUCCAUCAUUCUUAAAUAGAACACGUUUGGAACCACCAAGACUCUGCCUAGAGCUGGCCGCCCAGCCAAACUGAGCAAUCAGGGGCGAAAGGGCAUUGGUCAGUGAGGUGACCAAUAACCAGAUGGUCACUCUGACAGAGCUCUAGAGUUCCUCUGUGGAGAUGGGAGAACCUUCCAGAAGGACAACCAUCUCUGCAGCACUCCCCCAAUCAGGCCUUUAUGGUAGAGUUGCCAGACGGAAGCAACUCCUCAGUAAAAGGCACAUGACAGCACAUCUGGAGCUUGCCAAAAGCCACCUAAAGAGUCUCAGACCAUGAGAAACUAGAUUAUUUGGCCUAAAUGCCAAGCGUCACAUCUAAAGGAAACCUGUCACCAUCCCUACGGUGAAGUAUGGUGGUGGCAUUAUCGUGGUGUCAUUAUCAUUCUGUGGGGAUGUUUUUCAGCAGCAGGGACUGAGAGACGAGUCAGGAUCGAGGGAAAGAUGAACGGAGCAAAGCACAGAGAGAUCCUUGAUGAAAACCUGCUCCAGAGCGCUCAGGACCUCAGACUGGGGUGAAGGUUCACCUACCAACAAAAUAACGACCCUAAGCACAAAGUCUGCGUAGGAGUGGCUUCGGGACAAGUCUCUGAAUGUCCUUGAGUGGCCAAGUCAGAGCUCGGACUUGAACCUGAUCAAACAUUUCUGGAGAGACCUGAAAAUAGCUGUGCAGCAACGCUCCCCAUCCAACCUGACAGAGAUUGAGAGGAUCUGCAGAGAAGAAUGGGAGAAACUCCCCAAUUACAGGUGUGCCAAGCUUGUAGCGUCAUACCCAAGAAGAAUUGAGGUUGUAAUUGCUGCCAAAGGUACUUCAACAAAGUACUGAGUAAAAGGUCUGAAUACUUAUGUAAAUGUCAUAUUUCAGUUUUUUAUUAUUAAUACAUUUGAAUUAAACCUGUUUUUGCUUUGUCAUUAUGGAUUAUUGUGUGUAGAUUGAUGAGGGAAAAAACUAUUUAAUCAAUUUUAGAAUAAGGCUGUAACCUAACAAAAUGUGGAAGAAGUCAAGGGGUCUGAAUACUUUCCGAAUGCACUGUAGAUAUAUAUAUCGCACACUACGGUUGAUGUUUUCUAAUGGUUUUUAAUGGGUGCAUGAAUAUCUGAUCAUUUUUGUCAAUGACUUGGGUCCAACACUAUGUCAACAUCCCAAAUGGCACUCUGUUCCCUAUGAAGUGCACUUCUUUUGACCAGAGGCCUAUGUGCCCUGGUCAAAAGUAGUGCACUAUAUAGGGAAUAGGGUGCCAUCUGGGACGAAGCCUAUAUCACUAGUCUAGAAGUGACUGUGCUUGUGAUGCUGUUCAGUGUUUAGAAAGACGGACCUUGAAGCCUCACAAAUAGGGGCCAGAAGUUGAACCUGUUUAGAAAAACCCUUGGCUCUAUUCAUGAUCACGCCUCAAGAAAGAACUGUGAGCACAAUGAGAUGGACUUAUAUGAUUGGUUUACAGUGGUGCUACAUUAGCCUGAAUGCUGAUCUGUUUGUGCUAUCUUGCCAACUCCUGUCACUCAUUGUCAUGCCUAACAUUGACUUCAAAAUGACAACAAUGGAGUUGGCAAGAGCACAAACAGAUCUGGGAUCAGGCCAAUGCUACAGGGAGUUCAUUAAAAAGAUCACUGCUUGCUGCUCUCCACUGUUACAUAAAUCAGUCAACAACAGGUAUAGGAUCAGAAAACUGCAAUUCUAACCUUUACCAGUAGCGGGAUGAAAAACAUCUGACCCUGUAUCAGUGUAUAACAGCUGUUUCUACCUACGGUGCAUAAAUGAGGGUUACAAGUGAGAGUAGCUUAGAUAGGUCUCCUAGACUAAUGAACCUUGGACAAUCCAGGCCUCAUCAACAUUCAGUUAGUUCAGAUACAGUUACAUAAGCCACAGCCUGCCCUCCCACUCUGUUAAAGUUGAUUUCACCCAGUUAUCAUGAAGAAACCACUGAAAUGUUAGAAAUGUCCAAAUACUCAUUCUCUUGUUACUGGAUCUCCAUUAAAUGGGUUCAGCCUGACAAAUGCUUUAUUAAUACUCACGUGUCUUUGACCAAAGUACCAUACAGUCUGUCUCUGGGUCACUGGCCCUAUGCUCUGGUCCAGGGCAUUACAUGUGGCCUUCUUCAACAAGGCUUGCCGCAUGUAACACCCUGGACCAGAGCAACUGUGGUCUAUGCUUCCUCCUGGUUCUGUCUGGUUGUGGAUAUACUGGGCUUUCUGGGUCUCAAAUGUCACCCUAUUCCCUAUAUGGUGCACUUCUUUGGACCAGGACCCAUAGGGAUCUGGCAAUAAAUAGUGGACCAUGUAGGGAAUAGGGGGCCAUUUGGGGACGCAGGCCUGCAUGGGGCUGGGUGUCUCUCAUCUUAUGACAGACCCAGUGGAAUUGGUGGUGGUCCUAAUGGAAUACAAUAGAGUUAAAAUAGGUUGCUGUUAACCCAAUUUCAAACACAAACCAUGUGGUUGUACUGCUGCCUAUCACUUUCUAUGUAUUAUAAAGGGGGUGGGGGAUGCAACAGACAUACAUUCAGUCAGCUACUGUCAUAUUUUGGUGUAGUUAAGUUGACAACAAUGUAUACAAUAUUACAAUGUAAACAAUAUUACAUAUCUUCAACUGUCUUUUCAUGUUUCAAUUGGGGUGAAACGUGUAAUAUACACAGAGUGUACAAAACAUUAGGAACACCUUCCUAAUAUUGAGUUGCACUCCCCUUUGCCCUCAGAACAACCUCAAUUCGUCGGGCGUGGACUCUGCAAGGUGUCGAAAGCGUUCCACAGGGAUGCUGACCCAUGUUGACUCCAACAUGUUGUGUCAAGUUGGUUGGUUACACACAGGAAGCUGUUGAGCAUGAAAAACUCUGCAGCAUAGCAGUUCUUCACACACUGAAACCUUUGUGCCUCGCACCUACUGUCAUACCCCGUUAUAAGGGACGUGAAUAUUUAGUCUUGUCCAUUCACCCUCUGAAUGACACACACACACACAAUCCAUGUCUCAACUGUCUCAAGGUUUAAAAUCCUUCUUGAACCUGUCUCCUCCUCUUUAUCUACACUGAUUGAAGUGGAUUUAACAAGUGACAUAAAUAAGGGAUCAUAGCGAUCACCUUUAUUCACCUGGUCAGUCUGUCAUGGAAAGAGCAGGUGUUCCUAAAGUUUUGUCCCCUCAGUGUAAAUAUCAUGCAAUUGCAAAGUGAGGUCAGAGAAGUAUGUUUUUUUAGACAUAUUUUUAGCGACCAGAAAACGUCUAACAGCCAAAAUAUGAGGUCUUUCCCAGAUGUCUCCAUUACCUUGUUGUAACCAGGUUAUCUUUAUAAGCAGAAAACCAGUUUACAAUGCCAAAUGUUGCCCCCUGGGUAAGUAGGCUAAUGUAUCUACGUCAGAUUGUGGAUGCUGGGGGCUGGGGGGGGGGGGAUAUGUCCCAAAUAGGUCCCAAAUGGAUGCCAUGUGGCUCAGUAUGGCACGUCCCAUGGGAGACUAGUAUGAAAAAAUGUCUGCACUCACUACUGUAAGUCACUCUGGAUAAGAGCGUCUGAUAAAUUACUAACAUGUAAAUGUAUUCCCUUUAAAGUGCACUACUUUUGAAAAAGUAUUCUGAAUGUGUCCCAAAUGGCACCCUAUGGGACCUGGUCAAAUGUAGGUCUAGUGCACUAAAUGUGGAAUAGGGUGCCAUUUGGGACAUAACCCUCUGUCACUAAAUCCUCUUUGUCACAGUGGAUGGAUAACAUCAUCACUCGAUAGUCACACACACCACAUACCGUACUAAGUGCCAAUUUCUCUCUUUCUCUUGUUGGUAAAGCACUGAUGCUGAAUUACUUUGUGAAUAU
Molecule: long non-coding RNA, 4440 nt
Organism: Oncorhynchus tshawytscha (Chinook salmon)
Lineage: Eukaryota; Metazoa; Chordata; Actinopteri; Salmoniformes; Salmonidae
Source: Ensembl